ACACACAGCAAGCCACCAAUCAGUGUAGAGCGCACGCAGUGUAGGCGCUUGGUGUAUCUUCUCAUCACCACAAAAAUGAUGGAAGAAUCUCCUAACUCGAACUCGCCACAGUCUUUUCACAUAAACGGAGUUGAUUAUAUAAAGUAUUGCGAUGUUAAACUAAUAUAAUAGGAAGAUUAUAGCCAUAAUAAAUCAUAGUAUUUAAAUACUUAAGUACAUUCGAAGGCAAAUACUUUUGUACUUUUACCUAAGUUUAAAGAGCACUUUUACUGGAGAAAUAUUUUACAGAGUGUAUUUCUACUUUACCUCAAGAACAUGGUGUUUUGUACUUCAUCCACCACUGGUCCUGUGCAUAAGGGAAAGGGCUGAAGGCAUUUCUGAAGUGAGAGGAAGGUAAUCGGAAGGAAAAAUGCUCACGGAUCAAACGAUCGAACAAUGACGCAAUACCAGACAAUCCGGAUGGGCAGAAGGAAAUUCAAAUAGCUGAAUUAAGAAUAAUAAGGAAAAUGUUGCCACCUAUGACAAGAAGGCAGAUCUUGGUGCAGGUAUGAGAGCUAUUGUUAAUAGAAUUAGGUCAGGUUGUUUUUCUAUACAGUGGACACCCAUAGGAGUGUAACUCACCAGAGAACAAAUCACAAGCAAAGUGAAACAUGGACUACUACAAUGUCAAAGUGUAAUUCAAUGUACUGAAGCAUACUAAGACUUAAAAUGUGUGAUACGCAGCCGUCCACUUUUCAUUUCUAAUAAGUGUUGUGUAACAUGUUUUAUAAAGUCUGUACUUUUUAUGUUUUUGUGAACAUGAAAUAUACUGUUUUUACAUGUACCCAGAUGCUUCACAUUGACUUUUUUGUGUAGACUGUGUAAAGCUCCACUCAUGAUGUAGGGGCUUUAUAUAUCUAAUGUGCUAAUCACAUGUCGGUCGGUCGGUGUAAGAUUUUCUGCAAGCAAAUGCUUUCAAGUUUGUAAUCUUUUGAACUGAUCGUAGUCAAAGACACAUGGUGACAUUUUAUAAACUGACAUUUGAUAACCUAA
Molecule: long non-coding RNA, 1032 nt
Organism: Silurus meridionalis
Lineage: Eukaryota; Metazoa; Chordata; Actinopteri; Siluriformes; Siluridae
Exons: 2
Source: RefSeq, a predicted model, not a curated record